This is a long non-coding RNA of Cavia porcellus (domestic guinea pig), 4007 nucleotides long. RefSeq lists it as uncharacterized. The transcript has 4 exons. The record is from RefSeq and is a predicted model, not a curated record. NCBI's taxonomy places the organism in Eukaryota, Metazoa, Chordata, Mammalia, Rodentia, Caviidae.
CUCAUCUGAAUCUGGUGCUGAAUCAGGAACAAUGAGAAAAGUGUUAUUUUCAGUCCUUCAUUUAUAUCUAGCAGGAAGCCAGCCCAAGAAUGAUGGACACGAAGCCCCUGUUCCCUUAUCCUCCAGGGCACCGUGAGGCCCACCCUACCCUACAGAGCGUGCUUCUUUUCCACUGUCAACACAUGUACCCUUUUGCAACCUUUUCUGUGUGUCUCGUCCAGUGCUGUAUUCAGGUCACCAAGAACCUGGAAAGAAUGCUCCCAGUGCCCGGUGGGGUGGCACAUGCCUAUAAUCCCAGCACUCAGGAGGCUGAGGCAGGAAGAUCAGUAUGAGUUUGAGACCAGCGUAAGCUACAAAGCGAGCUCACGGCCAGGCUGAACUGCAUAGCAAGAUCCUCUCUCAAAAAGACCAAAAAAGAAGAAUGCCCCCAAGGGGCAUUCCAGUAACAAAGUCAUGCAGCAGGACUGGGUGUGAUUCUGGUGGGGCAAGGGUCUCUGUCUCUCCAGAACCUGGGUCCUGCACCCUGCCCUCAGCCCACCCUGCUGGAUGCGUGGGCUCUCUCCGAGGGCAGCAGCAGCCUCGGAGCAUAGCGGCUCUUGCAGAAGGUGGGCGGGGGCCCAAGUGACCACUCAGCCUCUCCUGGGGCCUGAGCAGCAAGGAGGAAGAGAGGAACCAGAGGCUGAGGUCAGCCCGCCUCCCACGAGCAUGACGACAGGUUGGCCGUGGGCCCCGUGGUUCCGCCACAGGGAGGUCAGGCCAGGGAGGCUGCCAGGACACGGGGCUGAAGACGGUCCAGAUAACGCAGCCAGGGUAGCCUCUGCGGGUGGAAAUGACCUUUCUUGGCUUUAAAUAGCUGCCUCUCCGGAGCUCUGAAGCCUCAGCAGGGCUAUUAAUUCCUGGACUCCUGGGGCUGCCCUGCCCGUGAUUCCGUUUGCCCGGUUUGUGGAAGAUCUCAGGCGUUUCUCCUGCCGCUGCGCCCCUCCCCUUUCUUCAAUGGUCCUGUGCAAUUUGAACAAGGGGUCAGUUUAUUUCUAGUUAGCAGGCCUGGGAUUCGAGCUGACCACAGACAUAUUCUUACGAAUGACAUGGCUCAAGUCAACAGCAAACUCUUGAGGGUUUUCUUUGUAGCCUGGUGUUUCUGUAAUGAAAGGGAAUAUGUAACUGGAUGGAUGAUGAAAACAGAGGUCUGACCUAUGCAGGUGUGUGUACGCGUAGCUUUAGCUCCCCAGGUAACUGGCCCUCCAGAUCCAUGGGGACUGCUUACUAUGUAUCCAGGUAAACCAGAGUCCUAACUGAUAAAGUAACUCUUACCCCCAGGCCUGCCAUCCCUUAGCGGUGUGUCUUGCUGAGCUGGAUGACAAGAAUUCCACGAGUCUCUGAAUCCUGACCACCCUCCCCAGCUCCACUCCUGGUACCAUGCUGAGAAUGAGGUAGAGGACAAGACAGGUAGGCAAAGAGGUACAUGUCAAAAACUCCGCAGGGCUUGGUGGCUGACUGGCUGGAGAAGCAAUGAAUGAUACGUUAGUGAAGACUUCCAAGUAUUCACCAGAGAACCAGGGGAACUGGUGACCCGCAAAGACAGAAGUGUGGGAGUGGGCCGGAGCAGCAGGCAACCUGUCUCAGGAAUUGUGUCUGCUAAUAAAAAAGGUCCAGCCAGGGUGGCUUAAACACACAAAUGUUUAAGUCUGUAGAAGACUUAUUAGUCUUAUCAGUCUGUGGCUCUGAGACUAGUUUAGCAGCUCUAGGCCCUUGGGAUACUUCUGUCUUUCAGUUUAUCAUCUUUAAAUUCUCCUCCCGGCUCAAAAUAGCUACUGGAAUUCCACUCACUGCAUCUGAAUUCCAGGAAGUGAGCGAGAAAAAUGAGCGAAGGACCAAAAGGGCAUAGAAUUCCCACCCUUUUCAGGAAUCCUCCUAGAAAUCCCCUGCCACCCUUCUGCUUGUGUCUCAUUAGCUAAAAACUUAGUCACAGGACUUUGAAUGGCUACACCAAGCUGCAAGGGAGACCGGGCAGGGCAGGUUCUCGUGGCUGGGCAUGUUGUCCAGGGAUCUGUUACGGAGGAAGGACAGACGUUGGGAAGCAACCAGCGGAUCUUGCUAAUCUUUGUUGAACGGCACUGGAAGGAAAGUGAUCAAACUCACGACUGCCUGCUUGCAAGGCAGGCGCUUAUGCCGCUGAGCUAAAUCUCCAGCCCCGAAAAUCAUCUAACUUCUUUGGUGAGCAGAAUUGCAAGACAGGAGCAGUAGGGUGAUGGAUGGAAAGCUAGACUGGGCUCCAAGAGUCAUGACGUCAGCCUCUUAGCUCAGCCCCAGGAGCCUCCAAGCUCAGUCUCCUCAUCGGUAGCCUGGGGAUGAUGACUCUGCUUCAUGCAGCUGGCAGGUGGCUGACGGGUGUGUAAGUGCCCGGCUCAGCAUGUGGCCCCCCGUAGAAGGCUGUGGGUGACACUUGGAUGCCAGUCUUCACUGCUGUGUUCAUCGUCACGGCCAGAAGAGGGGAACAGCGCCCGUGCGCACCUGUCUGCGAAGGGAUCUACAAAAUGUGGUAUCGGGAUACAAGAAGCAUUCUGGGGUGGUGAGGAGGAAUGAGUUCUGACCACAACACAAACGGGCCUUGAAGAGAUUGUGCUAAGCAGCCAGUCACCAAAGGGCUCAUCCCACUCCCAGGAGUGCCAAGAACAGGAACCCUGGAAGAGAUAGAAAGUGGAACCGAAGCCACAGAGAAAUGGAAGAUUGGGACAGUCCCAUCCCGACUGGCACAAUCAACCCACUUCUUAAGCAACAGAACCUCACUGUGUUGAGGCAAAAGAAAAAUUUCAAGUUUUACUUGCAGUCAGUGAUGUGAGCAAGGGGAAGGUGCAGCCAUUCCCCCCAGCAAGUGGUCCUCUGCUGCCUGUCCUCUUUCUAAGAAGCAACCUGUUUUUCCCAGAAAUCCUUUGGUGAAUGUGCUCUGAUACCUCAUUGGCCAGCACUGAGUCACAUGGCUUCCCUGGUAGCAAAGGAGUUUGGGAAAAUAUUAGGCCACAAGGGGAGAUGGCUGUGGUAAUGGCUGUAGAUAGCCACCCUGCAGAAUCUGCAAACCCAGGAAUUACUGGGCACAUCUGAAAAAAAAUAGGGGCAGACAUUCUAGUAUUACUUCCUGCACAACUGGUGGAACCUAGAUACCCACUGUGAGAACCACUGGCAUAGUGUAAAUGGUACAAUGUCUGCUCUCAGGAUAUUGAAUUCUAUGACAAUAUUGUCAUCUAUUCUUCCAGUUACUCUUCUUGAUGUCCUUUGUAGCUGUUUUUCAAGCUGUUUUGUUUUUGUUUGUUUGGUUUUUUUUAUUUUUGGUACUGGGGACCAAACUCACAACUGCGUGCUUGCAAGGCAGGUGCUUAUGCUGCUGAGCUAAAUCUCUAGCCCCUGUAGCUGAUUUUAUAGUAUAGAGUCUAAUCAAGGACCAAAUAGUGUAUAAAUGCAAUGAUUUUUAAGCUUUUCAAAUUGAGAUAGAAUUUUCAUACCAUAAAAUUCAGUCUUUUCAAAAUGUACAGGGCUGGGGAUAGUGGCAUAUACCUAUAAUCUCAGAAUAUGGGAGGCUGAGGCAGGAGGAUUGCCAUGAGUUCAAGGUCAGCCUGGGAUACACAGAAAAUUCAAGGCUAGCCUGAGCUACAUAGUGAGACCCUGUCAUAAAUAAAUAAAUAAAAACAAAUAAAUAAAGGCUGGGAAUGUUGGCACACGCCUGUAACCCCAGAACUCAGGAGGCUAAGGCAGGAGGAUCACUGCAAGUUCAGAACCAAUCUGGGCUCCAUAUUGAGUUCAAGGCCUUUGUGAAGUACAUAGUGAAACUCUGUCUUUUUAUUUAUUUAUUUUUUUUACUUUUUCCUUUUUAUCGGUACCAGGGAUCGAACUUAUGACUGCCUGCUUGCAAGGCAGGUGCUUAUGCUGCUGAGCUAAAUCCCCAGCCCCGUGAAACCCUGUCUUAAAAGCAAUAAAAUAAAAUGUACGGUAUCAUCCAGUGGUUUUUAAGUAUA